Molecule: ribosomal RNA, 385 nt
Filed under: uncultured bacterium
Lineage: Bacteria
Description: bacterial SSU rRNA
Rfam family: Bacterial small subunit ribosomal RNA
Source: RNAcentral
GACGAACGCUGGCGGCGUGCUUAACACAUGCAAGUCGAGCGGUAAGGCCCUUUCGGGGGUACACGAGCGGCGAACGGGUGAGUAACACGUGGGUGACCUGCCCUCAGCUCUGGGAUAAGCCUGGGAAACCGGGUCUAAUACUGGAUAUGACUCCAUGACGCAUGUUGUGGGGUGGAAAGCCUUGUGCGGCUGAGGAUGGGCCCGCGGCCUAUCAGCUUGUUGGUGGGGUGAGGCCUACCAAGGCGACGACGGGUAGCCGGCCUGAGAGGGCGACCGGCCAUACUGGGACUGAGACACGGCCCAGACUCCUACGGGAGGCAGCAGGUGGGGAAUCUUGCGCAAGUGGGACGAAAGCCUGACGCAGCGACGCCGCGUGAGGAUGACG